RNAcentral lists this ribosomal RNA (181 nucleotides) under uncultured Nitrospira sp. Its description in RNAcentral is "partial 16S ribosomal RNA". It matches the Rfam family "Bacterial small subunit ribosomal RNA", at positions 336 to 520 of the family's 1533-position model. Lineage: Bacteria; Pseudomonadati; Nitrospirota; Nitrospiria; Nitrospirales; Nitrospiraceae. The record is from RNAcentral.
CUCCUACGGGAGGCAGCAGUAAGGAAUAUUGCGCAAUGGGCGAAAGCCUGACGCAGCGACGCCGCGUGGGGGAUGAAGGUCUUCGGAUUGUAAACCCCUUUCGGGAGGGAAGAUGGAGCGAGCAAUCGUUCGGACGGUACCUCCAGAAGCAGCCACGGCCAACUUCGUGCCAGCGCCGCGG